GUCUACUUCUGAAAGUUUCUCAGAAAUUUCAAUGACAUAAGCAGAAAGAGAUGACCACCUUGAAGUCAGAAAUCGAGCCAAGUGCAACUUUUUUCUGUUUAACACUUUAGUGUAUGAGCUAUUUUGAUUAUUUUAGCGAGGCCCAGGUAUUAUGUUAUGUUUUAGGGAAUUGCUGGCAUAGAGAAGGACCUUAGAAAGGCA
RNAcentral lists this unclassified non-coding RNA (201 nucleotides) under Hevea brasiliensis (rubber tree). Lineage: Eukaryota; Viridiplantae; Streptophyta; Magnoliopsida; Malpighiales; Euphorbiaceae. The record is from RNAcentral.